RNAcentral lists this ribosomal RNA (274 nucleotides) under uncultured bacterium. RNAcentral describes it as "partial 16S ribosomal RNA". It matches the Rfam family "Bacterial small subunit ribosomal RNA", at positions 523 to 796 of the family's 1533-position model. The record is from RNAcentral.
AUACGGAGGGGGUUAGCGUUGUUCGGAAUUACUGGGCGUAAAGCGCACGUAGGCGGACUGGAAAGUUGGGGGUGAAAUCCCGGGGCUCAACCCCGGAACUGCCUCCAAAACUUCCAAUCUAGAGAUCGAGAGAGGUGAGUGGAAUUCCAAGUGUAGAGGUGAAAUUCGUAGAUAUUUGGAGGAACACCAGUGGCGAAGGCGGCUCACUGGCUCGAUACUGACGCUGAGGUGCGAAAGCGUGGGGAGCAAGCAGGAUUAGAAACCCCAGUAGUCC